Molecule: ribosomal RNA, 253 nt
Filed under: uncultured bacterium
Lineage: Bacteria
Description: partial 16S ribosomal RNA
Rfam family: Bacterial small subunit ribosomal RNA
Source: RNAcentral
UACGGGGGGGGCAAGCGUUGUUCGGAAUUACUGGGCGUAAAGAGCUCGUAGGCGGUCUGUCGCGUCGGAUGUGAAAAUCCAGGGCUCAACCCUGGACCUGCAUUCGAUACGGGCAGACUAGAGUUCGGCAGGGGAGACUGGAAUUCCUGGUGUAGCGGUGAAAUGCGCAGAUAUCAGGAGGAACACCGGUGGCGAAGGCGGGUCUCUGGGCCGAUACUGACGCUGAGGAGCGAAAGCAUGGGGAGCGAACAGG